UACGGAGGGUGCAAACGUUGCUCGGAAUCAUUGGGCGUAAAGCGUACGUAGGCGGUCCAGCAAGUCGGGUGUGAAAUCCCUGGGCUUAACCGAGGAAGUGCAAACGAAACUACUGGACUUGAGUACUGAAGAGGGUCGCGGAAUUCCCGGUGUAGAGGUGAAAUUCGUAGAGAUCGGAAAGAACACCAACGGCGAAAGCACUCUGCUGGGCCGACACUGACACUGAGAGACGAAAGCUAGGGGAGCGAAUGGG
RNAcentral lists this ribosomal RNA (253 nucleotides) under uncultured bacterium. RNAcentral's name for it is "partial 16S ribosomal RNA". It matches the Rfam family "Bacterial small subunit ribosomal RNA", at positions 524 to 776 of the family's 1533-position model. The record is from RNAcentral.